GUGUCAGCCGCCGCGGUAAUACGUAGGGGGCGAGCGUUGUCCGAAUUUAUUGGGCGUAAAGCGCGUGUAGGCGGCUCUUUAAGUCAGAUGUGAAAUCCUGCGGCUCAACCGCAGAACUGCAUUUGAUACUGGAGGGCUUGAGUGUGGGAGAGGAAAGUGGAAUUCCUGGUGUAGCGGUGAAAUGCGUAGAUAUCAGGAGGAACACCCGUGGCGAAGGCGGCUUUCUGGCCCACCACUGACGCUGAGACGCGAAAGCUAGGGGAGCGAACGGGAUUAGAAACCCGCGUAGUCC
RNAcentral lists this ribosomal RNA (292 nucleotides) under uncultured bacterium. RNAcentral's name for it is "partial 16S ribosomal RNA". It matches the Rfam family "Bacterial small subunit ribosomal RNA", at positions 505 to 796 of the family's 1533-position model. The record is from RNAcentral.